Molecule: long non-coding RNA, 1092 nt
Filed under: Betta splendens (Siamese fighting fish)
Lineage: Eukaryota; Metazoa; Chordata; Actinopteri; Anabantiformes; Osphronemidae
Description: lncRNA (ENSBSLG00000017960.1)
Source: RNAcentral
AUGAGGCGGGAACAGACGUGGAGACGUGGUCGGCACCGGACCACCAGGAACCGAUGCAGACGCGGUUGGCGCCGGACCACCAGGAACAGAUGCAGACGCGGUCGGCGCCGGACCACCAGGAACCGAGCAGGCGCGACCUCCUCCUGGAGGUCCGCAGGAGCUGCAGCAGGCGCGACCUCCUCCUGGAGGUCCGCAGGAGCUGCAGCAGGCGCGACCUCCUCCUGGAGGUCCGCAGGAGCUGCAGCAGGCGCGACCUCCUCCUGGAGGUCGGCGGGAACCGCGGCAGCAACUCCAGCUGGCGCGACCUCCUCCUGGAGGUCGGCGUGGACCGCGGCAGCAACUCCAGCUGGCGCGACCUCCUCCUGGAGGUCGGCGGGAACUGCAGCAGGCGCGACCUCCUCCUGGAGGUCCGCAGGAGCUGUAGCAGGCGCAACCUCCUCCUGGAGGUCCACAGGAGCUGCAGCAGGCGCGACCUCCUCCUGGAGGUCAGCAGGAGCUGCAGCAGGCGCGACCUCCUCCUGGAGGUCAGCGGGAACCGCGGCAGCAACUCCAGCUGGCGCGACCUCCUCCUGGAGGUCGGCGUGGACCGCGGCAGCAACUCCAGCUGGCGAGACCUCCUCCUGGAGGUCGGCGGGAACUGCCACUCCGAGGCUGACAGGAACGGGGGCUAGAACGGCGUUCUCGCAGGAGCCGACUGGAACAUCGACGGCUUCUACAUGGCCGACAGGAACGACCUCUACCUGGCCGACAGGAGCGGCCUCUACAUGGCAGACAGGAACAGGAACGGCCUCAACCUGGCCGACAGGGACAGGAACUGGAACGGCCUCAACCUGGCCGACAGGGACAGGACUUGGAACGGCCUCUACUUGGCCGACGAGAACAGGAGCUGGAACGGCCUCUACUUGGCCGACGGGAACAGGAACUGGAACGGUCUCUACUUGGCCGACAGGAACAGGAACUGGAACGGCCUCUACUUGGCCGACAGGAACAGGAACGGCGUCCUCACAGGAGCCGGCGGCGCUGCUCUCAGGCUCCUCACAGGAGCCAGCUGGGGCCUGGACUGGGCUUGACUGGACUGGGACUGGAACCUGA